UAGUCGUGACUGAGAGGUCGAUCGACCACAUUGGGUCUGAAAAAACCCCAAUGCGUAUUAGUACAGCAGUGAGGAAUAUUGGUCAAUGGUCUAACGACUGAACCAGUAACUUGGAAGAAUGUAAAUGUAUUAUAAUUAAUACAAUAA
This 147-nucleotide ribosomal RNA is filed under the name Talaromyces flavus. Its description in RNAcentral is "partial 5.8S ribosomal RNA". The stretch from base 1 to 110 matches the Rfam family "Bacterial small subunit ribosomal RNA", at positions 284 to 395 of the family's 1533-position model. The record is from RNAcentral. Lineage: Eukaryota; Fungi; Ascomycota; Eurotiomycetes; Eurotiales; Trichocomaceae.